RNAcentral lists this ribosomal RNA (482 nucleotides) under uncultured bacterium. RNAcentral describes it as "partial 16S ribosomal RNA". It matches the Rfam family "Bacterial small subunit ribosomal RNA", at positions 30 to 507 of the family's 1533-position model. The record is from RNAcentral.
AUUGAACGCUGGCGGCAUGCCUUACACAUGCAAGUCGAACGGUAACAGGUCUUCGGAUGCUGACGAGUGGCGAACGGGUGAGUAAUACAUCGGAACGUGCCCGAUCGUGGGGGAUAACGAAGCGAAAGCUUUGCUAAUACCGCAUACGAUCUACGGAUGAAAGCAGGGGACCGCAAGGCCUUGCGCGAACGGAGCGGCCGAUGGCAGAUUAGUUAGUUGGUGGGAUAAAAGCUUACCAAGCCGACGAUCUGUAGCUGGUCUGAGAGGACGACCAGCCACACUGGGACUGAGACACGGCCCAGACUCCUACGGGAGGCAGCAGUGGGGAAUUUUGGACAAUGGGCGAAAGCCUGAUCCAGCCAUGCCGCGUGCAGGAUGAAGGCCUUCGGGUUGUAAACUGCUUUUGUACGGAACGAAAAGACUCUGGUUAAUACCUGGGGUCCAUGACGGUACCGUAAGAAUAAGCACCGGCUAACUACGUG